Molecule: unclassified non-coding RNA, 333 nt
Filed under: Zea mays
Lineage: Eukaryota; Viridiplantae; Streptophyta; Magnoliopsida; Poales; Poaceae
Description: misc RNA Zm00001eb153220
Source: RNAcentral
CGGCCUAUCCCUGUGUGCCACGAACUCCGUGUCAGGCGAAGCUUUGUUCUUGCUGAUCUCGUACAGCUCGUCUGGGUUCUCCGGGAGCUGCUGUUUCCUGUUCCUGACUGCGGCGACGUACACCUGGAAGAUCUCCUUCAGCGCACUGCUUCCCUGGACCGUGGCGAUGCGGUACCUCGGCAGGCCAGCGAUGAAGACGAUGACGGCGAGCCCCAUGACGCCCGUGGCGGCGGCGAACCCCUUCGCCCAUCCCUUAUUCUCCUGGAUCCACACGAACACGGUGACGCUGAAGGCGCCGCCGGUGCAGAGGCUAAGCAGCAGGUAGUUGAAGCA